ACUCUAUCAGUCAGUUGAAGGCUUCCAGAGCAAACAGAUUUCCUGGAGUAGGCCUUGUGUCAUAAGCUGGAAGACAGAAGUCUGGCUAGAGUGUCGAGACCACCCACUCUUCUCCAGAUAUCAUACUUGUCAGUCAUUUUCUCCCUCUCCCUCCGUCCUAUCAGCCCCGUUUCUCAGGAGAACCCUGACUGGUUCUUUCUUUACACAAGAAAGGGUGAAGGCUCAGCGAAAGGGACAAUGCCUUUCUGGAGUCAACUGCACCUGGGAGCAGCAGGCAGGAAGUGUCAUUUGUUGGCUACAGAUCUGAGCAGUUUCGGGUACGAAGGGAUCAUGGGGCUUGGGCACACACACAGAGAACAGAUGGACACAAGUACUUCUGGACCAGUGUAGAGAGAGGGCACAACAGUUCAGUGGGCAAAGGCACCUGCCAUGAGAACUCACUGACCUGAUCCUCAGAACCCACGUCAAGGUGGAAGGAGAGAACCAGCAUGUGCCUGCAUACCUGUAUCAUACAUGCACAUAAUAAUAAUAAUAUAUAAAAAAUUAAGAAAUAGCAAUUGUGGCCCUAUUGCCAUAGAUUAUCAAGACAAACCCCACUACUGCUAAUAUUUGGGUGCUAAUUUUCUUUUUUCUUUUCUUUUCUUUCUUUUUUUUUUUUUUUUUUUUGAGGUAGAAUUUCUAGUCAAGGCUGGCCUCCAGUUAGUUCCCUGGGUAGUUAAAGAUGACCUUGAACUCUUGGUCUUCCUGCCUCUACCUAAAUGCUGAUUUAUGCAAUGCCAGGGUUUGAACUCAAAGCCUAUACAUGAUGAUCAGGCUGCCUAUCGACUGAGCUACAUCCCAG
RNAcentral lists this long non-coding RNA (841 nucleotides) under Cricetulus griseus (Chinese hamster). RNAcentral's name for it is "lncRNA (ENSCGRG00015038754.1)". Lineage: Eukaryota; Metazoa; Chordata; Mammalia; Rodentia; Cricetidae. The record is from RNAcentral.